Molecule: ribosomal RNA, 523 nt
Filed under: uncultured Alphaproteobacteria bacterium
Lineage: Bacteria; Pseudomonadati; Pseudomonadota; Alphaproteobacteria
Description: bacterial SSU rRNA
Rfam family: Bacterial small subunit ribosomal RNA
Source: RNAcentral
UGGGGAAUCUUGCGCAAUGGGCGAAAGCCUGACGCAGCCAUGCCGCGUGUAUGAUGAAGGUCUUAGGAUUGUAAAAUACUUUCACCGGUGAAGAUAAUGACUGUAGCCGGAGAAGAAGCCCCGGCUAACUUCGUGCCAGCAGCCGCGGUAAUACGAAGGGGGCUAGCGUUGCUCGGAAUUACUGGGCGUAAAGGGAGCGUAGGCGGACAUUUAAGUCAGAGGUGAAAUCCCGGAGCUUAACUUCGGAACUGCCUUUGAUACUGGGUGUCUUGAGUGUGAGAGAGGUAUGUGGAACUCCGAGUGUAGAGGUGAAAUUCGUAGAUAUUCGGAAGAACACCAGUGGCGAAGGCGACAUACUGGCUCAUUACUGACGCUGAGGCUCGAAAGCGUGGGGAGCAAACAGGAUUAGAUACCCUGGUAGUCCACGCCGUAAACGAUGAUUGCUAGUUGUCGGGAAGCUUGCUUCUCGGUGACGCAGCUAACGCAUUAAGCAAUCCGCCUGGGGAGUACGGUCGCAAGAUUA